Molecule: ribosomal RNA, 369 nt
Filed under: Petrosia sp. B GPM-2011
Lineage: Eukaryota; Metazoa; Porifera; Demospongiae; Haplosclerida; Petrosiidae
Description: eukaryotic LSU rRNA
Rfam family: Eukaryotic large subunit ribosomal RNA
Source: RNAcentral
UAGGUCGACCCGCUGAACUUAAGCAUAUCAAUAAGCGGAGGAAGAGAAACCAACCGGGAUUCCCCCAGUAACGGCGAGCGAAGCGGGAAGCGGCCCAGGUCUGUAAUCUCCGGUCGGGCCGAGUGCGACCGGCGAAUUGUGGUCUGGAGAGUCGGAUCGUCCCCGUGCCCCGCUGGCGAACGGGCCCGAAGUCGACUUGGAACGGCGUGCCGGAGAGGGUGAGAGCCCCGUAGGGCACGGCAACCGAGAGCGGGGGGACGCACGGAUCCGGACUCGACGAGUCGGGUUGUUUGGGAAUGCAGCCCCAAGCGGGUGGUAGACUCCAUCCAAGGCUAAAUACGGGCGCGAGACCGAUAGCGAACAAGUACC